This 492-nucleotide ribosomal RNA is filed under the name uncultured bacterium. RNAcentral describes it as "partial 16S ribosomal RNA". It matches the Rfam family "Bacterial small subunit ribosomal RNA", at positions 29 to 507 of the family's 1533-position model. The record is from RNAcentral.
AGUGAACGCUGGCGGUAGGCCUAACACAUGCAAGUCGAACGGCAGCACAGUAAGAGCUUGCUCUUACGGGUGGCGAGUGGCGGACGGGUGAGGAAUACAUCGGAAUCUACUUUUUCGUGGGGGAUAACGUAGGGAAACUUACGCUAAUACCGCAUACGACCUACGGGUGAAAGCAGUGGAUCUUCGGACCUUGCGCGAUUGAAUGAGCCGAUGCCGGAUUAGCUAGUUGGCAGGGUAAAGGCCCACCAAGGCGACGAUCCGUAGCUGAUCUGAGAGGAUGAUCGGCCACACUGGAACUGAGGCACGGUCCAGACUCCUACGGGAGGCAGCAGUAGGGAAUCGUCAGCAAGGGGCGAAAGCCUGACGGAGCAACGCCGCGUGAGUGAUGAAGGUCUUCGGAUCGUAAAACGCUGUUAUUAGGGAAGAAAAAAUGGGUAAGUAACUAUGCACGUCUGGACGGUACCUAAUCAGAAAGCCACGGCUAACUACGUG